UGAGGCCUAGCAAAGGGUGGAGGGUGGGAG
Molecule: non-coding RNA, 30 nt
Filed under: Homo sapiens (human)
Lineage: Eukaryota; Metazoa; Chordata; Mammalia; Primates; Hominidae
Source: RNAcentral